This 274-nucleotide ribosomal RNA is filed under the name uncultured bacterium. Its description in RNAcentral is "partial 16S ribosomal RNA". It matches the Rfam family "Archaeal small subunit ribosomal RNA", at positions 473 to 747 of the family's 1478-position model. The record is from RNAcentral.
AAACCAGCACCUCAAGUGGUCAGGAGGAUUAUUGGGCCUAAAGCAUCCGUAGCCUGUUCUGUAAGUUUUCGGUUAAAUCCAUUAGCUCAACUAAUGGGCUGCCGAAAAUACUGUAGAACUAGGGAGUGGGAGAGGUAGACGGUAUUCGGUAGGAAGGGGUAAAAUCCUUUGAUCUAUUGAGGACCACCUGUGGCGAAGGCGGUCUACCAGAACACGUUCGACGGUGAGGGAUGAAAGCUGGGGGAGCAAACCGGAUUAGAAACCCUAGUAGUCC